Molecule: long non-coding RNA, 1711 nt
Filed under: Homo sapiens (human)
Lineage: Eukaryota; Metazoa; Chordata; Mammalia; Primates; Hominidae
Description: HSALNT0114973
Rfam family: Metazoan signal recognition particle RNA (bases 1449-1565)
Source: RNAcentral
UGUGAUGCUGUGUGGUUUCUGUCACGUACACACACACAGGCACACUCAUGCACACACCCCCUACCUCCCUGCCUACAUUCCACCCAGCCUGACUGCUCUGGAAGGAAGAAUCCCUGCAAGGUGAGUGUUAUUAUAUCCAUUUGUGGACCAGGACUGCGGCUCAGAAGCUUUUCCCAGGACACUGAACUCUGACAGGUGAAUAGCUGCCAAGUGGUGGAGGUUGGCCUGCAGUGAGCAUCAGUCUGACUUCGAAGGACAGAAUGACACAUGGUACAAGCUUUCUGUCUUACUGCCACACGUCAGUGUCCUGGGAGAUGAACCAGAUGCAGGUGAUGCCGAAGAGCUCCCUGAUGAAUGUGGGAAUAAAAAUUUAUAUCAGAAUCGACACUGGUUAUAAUGUGAAUUUAUGACAUUACUUGAGAAUAUUCAAUUCUGCUGUAGAGGACAAAAAAAAUGGAAUAAUGAAAUCCAUCAUAAACCCUGGGCAUAGUUGGUAAGUAAGCAGGUACCUUAUGCGAUAUAGGCAAAACUUAUAGGAUGUAUUAAGUAUAGAUAGAGAGUAAUGUAGUAUAUACUGAGGCAUGUUAAAGAUAAACAGAAUGCAUGAAAUAUAUGCUGGAACAAGGAAGAAUAUUAUAGAUAGAAAUGUCAAGUCAUAUGUCUUGAUCAUUCUAUCUCUAGGCUGACAGCUCAGUCAUCUCUAGAUGAGCCAUUCAUUGGUAACUCAAUAUGGUCUCAUUCUGAGUUUCACAUGAACUGUGCUAAAAAAAAAAAAUGCAGAUAAAACCUUUCACUGUUCAGUAAGUGAAUUGGCCAGGGGGUCCUUGUUUCUUAUCUUAGUCCAUUUUCUGCUGCUAUAACAGAAUAACCUCAGAUGGGAUAAUUGAUAAAGAAUAGAAAUGUAUUUCUCACAGUUCCAGAGGUUGGGAAGUCCAAGGUCAAGGGGCCCAGAUCCGGUGAGGGUCUUGUUACUGUCAUAGCAUGGUGGAAGGGCCAGAGAGAAAGUUGGAGAGAGAGAAUGGAACUCACAGCCCCCAGCCCUUUUAUAAUCCACAUUAAUCCAUUCAUGAGGAUGGAACCCUCGUGAUCUAAACACCUCCCAUGAGGCCCCACCUCCUAACACUGUGGCAUCAGGGAUUGCAUUUCCAGCACAUGCUUUUUGGGGAGCACAUUCAAACCAUAGCAUCCCUGCAUCUCUCUGACAUAGCAAAUGUGUGUCAUUGGCCCAGCAGGCCUUCUGUCUGUGGGCCCCCUUGCUCAAACCUCAACUCUGGUCUCCUGACCACACUGUUAGUGUAGAGAAAGACAGGACGUUUGGAGCUUGCAUAGUCCAGAAGUCAAGAAGCGGUUGCUGUCACCUGCCUGCAACCCAUCCUUACGAACUGACUCUAUCUCCUUCCCCUUGCUUUUCCCUGUGUGUUUUAAAUUAAUUUAAUAAACUGUGUGAGGCCGGGUGUGGUGGCUCAUGCCUGUAAUCCAAGCACUCUGGGAGGCUGAGACAGGUGGAUCACCUGAGGUCAGGGAUUCAAGACCAGCCUGGCCAACAUGGUGAAACCCUGUCUCUACAAAAAUACAAAAAUUAGCCAGGCAUGAUGUGGGUGCCUGUAAUCCCAGCUACUCAGGAGGCUGAGGCGGGAGAAUCACUGGAACUCAGAGGCAGAGGUUGCAGUGAGCCGAGAUCGUGCCAUUGCACUCCAGCCUGGGUGGCAGA